GGGGUCGACCGGAAUUGACAGGAUAGCGAUGGUUAUGUAAGCAUGCAGUGCAUUGUUAGUCUAGCACUAUAAUCUGAACUUUCAACUUUACAACUGGCGAAGAAAACUACGCCUUAGCUGCUUAAGUUAGACUUAACAUAGCUAUUUGUCUCGUUAGACUCCGUUCUACCGUCUAACAUCAGAGGCAUCGAACUGUAGAACUGGUUCAUGUGAUGUUGCUAAGCACGAAUAAGAUCCAGCAAAUAAGGAAUAAGGUAUAGGUAAGCGACUCACCUUCCAGAUUCCCGACAAUUAAAGAGAAGCUAAGCAUGUAGAAAGCGUAGAUCAUACUAUGUUUGGACGAGGGUUCGAAUCCCUCCGGCUCCACAC
Molecule: transfer-messenger RNA, 369 nt
Filed under: Sphingobacterium corticibacter
Lineage: Bacteria; Pseudomonadati; Bacteroidota; Sphingobacteriia; Sphingobacteriales; Sphingobacteriaceae
Description: Standard tmRNA
Rfam family: transfer-messenger RNA
About the family: Bacterial tmRNA, also known as 10Sa RNA or SsrA, is named for its dual tRNA and mRNA-like properties. Its role is to liberate the mRNA from a stalled ribosome.
Source: Rfam by way of RNAcentral